UACAGAGGUCUCAAGCGUUGUUCGGAUUCAUUGGGCGUAAAGGGUGCGUAGGCGGCGCGGUAAGUCGGGUGUGAAAUCUCGGAGCUUAACUCCGAAACUGCAUUCGAUACUGCCGUGCUUGAGGACUGGAGAGGAGAAUGGAAUUCCUGGUGUAGCGGUGAAAUGCGCAGAUAUCAGGAAGAACACCCGUGGCGAAGGCGGUUCUCUGGGACGGUACUGACGCUGAGACGCGAAAGCGUGGGGAGCAAACAGG
RNAcentral lists this ribosomal RNA (253 nucleotides) under uncultured bacterium. RNAcentral's name for it is "partial 16S ribosomal RNA". It matches the Rfam family "Bacterial small subunit ribosomal RNA", at positions 524 to 776 of the family's 1533-position model. The record is from RNAcentral.